CAGAAACGGGGCCAGCACGCUUUAUAGGACUUCACUACCACACAUCAAGAAAUAACCGUUCAAUAAGCUUCCAGUCCAAAGCCUCCCUGCGUAAGACAGCAGCUCGUUGGUGAACAGCCGUGAUCCCAAGCUGCCCAGGACUCGGACAUCCACAGCAACACGCCAGUCCGAAGGCUGCUUUUGCCUUGGGUGAAAGAUUUUCAUCUCCUGACCAUCAAAACCAAGCCAACAGGAGCCUACGCAGGCCGCGCAUCUGACUGCCGACGGGCACUCGAGCGCUCCAAGCAGACCCACUGCUCAGCUAACCCUUGUUGUCACCCUGACAUACGCCAUCCCCGUGAGACAAGGAUACUGGAGCAUCCAGGGACCACCACGGUUUCCAACAUGGCCAGACCUCUGCCAGACUAGCAGGGAAUGUUUGAGGAAGAAGGUCUGUGCCCAACCAAGGCCCAGGACUUAUUUCCACUUAAGAUACCACUAGAAUAAAUUUGGGACAGUUUUAAAGCUUCUGUGGCUC
Molecule: long non-coding RNA, 517 nt
Filed under: Anser cygnoides (Swan goose)
Lineage: Eukaryota; Metazoa; Chordata; Aves; Anseriformes; Anatidae
Description: lncRNA (ENSACDG00005000654.1)
Source: RNAcentral